AAUUGGUUAACCUCUUCAGUUUUUUGUAUUAGUUCCAUAAAUGAUCUGUUACGACGGGAAGGUGCUGCCGGAGAAAGACAAGAAAAGUGGAAGAAUUCAAGCGUUUCUCUUGAUUGCAAAGUUCUGAUCUAGAUUUAUUUUUUAAUAGGUUAUGAACUUUUACAACAAGAACAACAACAACAGCAAAAACGUAGCAAAUGUGUUGAAGUAAAUCACAAAAUUGACCAUGUGAUGGUGAUGAUAAAACAAUAAAAAAAAAAUAGCAACUCAAUUUAAUGGAAAUGUAUGAACUUUUGAUUUCCCCAAGGAAUUUGUCACUUAUGGUGCUUGGAGAGUGUGGAGUGCGAACAAUGGAAUUGUGGCAGUAGUAUUCGCCAGAUGGGAAAGAUAUGAAAUGAAUGCGGGAAUUGUGCCGGGGAAAUGCAAAAAAAUCCACCACCAUCAUGCGACACAAAGUGGAUGACUUUAUUUAAAGUUGCAAAUGACAGGGAAUAAUUUAACGUUUAUGGAUGCGUAAAUAGCGACAUAU
Musca domestica (house fly) is the source of this 529-nucleotide long non-coding RNA. RefSeq lists it as uncharacterized. The transcript has 3 exons. Lineage: Eukaryota; Metazoa; Arthropoda; Insecta; Diptera; Muscidae. The record is from RefSeq and is a predicted model, not a curated record.